RNAcentral lists this ribosomal RNA (426 nucleotides) under Vibrio chagasii. Its description in RNAcentral is "bacterial SSU rRNA". It matches the Rfam family "Bacterial small subunit ribosomal RNA", at positions 258 to 676 of the family's 1533-position model. The record is from RNAcentral. Lineage: Bacteria; Pseudomonadati; Pseudomonadota; Gammaproteobacteria; Vibrionales; Vibrionaceae. RNAcentral also lists the same sequence under 1 other name.
UAAGGGCUCACCAAGGCGACGAUCCCUAGCUGGUCUGAGAGGAUGAUCAGCCACACUGGAACUGAGACACGGUCCAGACUCCUACGGGAGGCAGCAGUGGGGAAUAUUGCACAAUGGGCGCAAGCCUGAUGCAGCCAUGCCGCGUGUGUGAAGAAGGCCUUCGGGUUGUAAAGCACUUUCAGUCGUGAGGAAGGUAGUGUGUUUAAUAGAUGCAUUAUUUGACGUUAGCGACAGAAGAAGCACCGGCUAACUCCGUGCCAGCAGCCGCGGUAAUACGGAGGGUGCGAGCGUUAAUCGGAAUUACUGGGCGUAAAGCGCAUGCAGGUGGUGUGUUAAGUCAGAUGUGAAAGCCCGGGGCUCAACCUCGGAAUAGCAUUUGAAACUGGCAGACUAGAGUACUGUAGAGGGGGGUAGAAUUUCAGGUGU